UUUUUAAUUUAUACCGAAAAUAGCAUCAUUUUUUAAUUUAUACCGAAAAUAGCAUCAUUUUUUAAUUUAUACCGAAAAUAGCAUCAAUUUUUUUUUUCUUUUCUGCAUAAGUAAAACAAGUAAUAUAUAUAUAUAUAUAUAUAUAUUUAUAACAUAUUUAUAAGCCCCUAUUCACAUGUGUUUUAAACUCUUUUCCAUUUUUGUUACUCAAAAUAUGUUAUAUAUAUACAUAUAUACAUAUAUAAAGACACCAAUUAAUGUAUUAUAAGUUUAAAUGAUGGGCACAGAAAACUGCGAAAUAUGGAAAGAUUACUCAAAUGCGCUGAGGUUAUAUGAAAAGAUACAAAAAUUGUACGAUGAAUAUAAUAAAAAAAAAAAAAAAAAAAUAAAUAACAGUAAUAGUAGUAGCAGUACUGUUAAUAAAGAAAUGCCAAGUAACUGUGGUUUAGUACAAAAUGUAGAAACAACGAAACACAGUAAUUUGAAAAAUCAUUAUAUGAUAAAACCAAGUAUGUAUAAUUAUAAUGUAGUUAAUUAUUAUAAAGAUGAAUAUAUGUUAAAAACAAAAAUUGUGGAACUGUCAGAAGAUAUAAUAAAUGCAAUUAAUCAAAUUUAUGACAUUUUUCGUCUUUGUAAUGAGAAUGUAUUUUUAUCAUUUAAUGGAGGGAAAGAUGCUGUUGUUGUUUUACAUUUAUUUCGAUGUGCUUAUGCUAAAUAUAUUAAUGACACAAAAGGAAAAAUAAAGAAACCUAAUUUAUGUUAUUUUAAAGACCACACAAACGAAUUUCCAGAAGUAUAUCAAUUUUUAAAUGAAUGUGUUUAUAUAUAUGAUUUUAAUAUACGUAUAAUUAAGGGAACCUGGAAAACAGGUAUAAAUAAUUUUAUAAAUGAAUUACAAAAGACGUAUAAAAAUGAGCCUAAUUCGUGUUUUAAUAAUACAACUCCAUCUACUACUACCAAUACGUGCAAUCCUAACACGAGUAAUACCAAUACAUGCGCUGACAAUACGUGCACUACCAAUACGUGUACUACCAAUAUGUACAAUAACAACACGUUAACUACCAAUACAUUCACAACUAAUACACUUACCAUAGCCUUCGUUAAUGGGACACGAUAUGUUGA
Molecule: long non-coding RNA, 1122 nt
Filed under: Piliocolobus tephrosceles (Ugandan red Colobus)
Lineage: Eukaryota; Metazoa; Chordata; Mammalia; Primates; Cercopithecidae
Description: lncRNA (ENSPTEG00000006079.1)
Source: RNAcentral